This is a long non-coding RNA of Gigantopelta aegis, 283 nucleotides long. RefSeq lists it as uncharacterized. The transcript is spliced from 3 exons. The record is from RefSeq and is a predicted model, not a curated record. NCBI's taxonomy places the organism in Eukaryota, Metazoa, Mollusca, Gastropoda, Neomphalida, Peltospiridae.
GCCGUUUAAAGUUUACUUCAGUGAGAAAUACUCGGUUCAGCUUUAGUUCAUAUUGCCUGUCCUAUUGCUAAGAAAUAAGUUUACAAUAUGUAUAAUAGUGGUGCAGAAGACAAAUAUUUGCGAACUUUAUUUCUAUCUGACUUUACUUUCGUUACUCUAGAUACCGGACAAGUUUGUACCUGCACCGAUAUGUUCGCUAAUAAUGCCUGCCCAAUAGAAUUAAUACAGCAUGCUAACUUUCCAGGAAAGGACAAUUUAUACCGCUGGGUCAAAGAGAGAAAUG